Nymphaea colorata (pocket water lily) is the source of this 2482-nucleotide long non-coding RNA. RefSeq lists it as uncharacterized. Lineage: Eukaryota; Viridiplantae; Streptophyta; Magnoliopsida; Nymphaeales; Nymphaeaceae. The transcript is spliced from 4 exons. The record is from RefSeq and is a predicted model, not a curated record.
GUCGUGCUUGAAGUCCAGGACCAUUUUCCGUCUCUUAAGUUUAUUGGGCAAACCUUCCCCACCCAUAAGUUUAGUUUCAUUGUAUUUGUGCUUUCUCUUGUUAAGUUUAUCGAAGUACAGAUCCGGCGCUCGCGUUCAGCUUACUAUCUGCGUUGCCCUCAUUGCUGAUUAAAAUUCACGGUUCAAUGGUUGUAAAAUUUGCUCAGUUUGAUUCAUUUGACCAUACAUUGUUGUUUUUAGUCUCAAUUUCAUUUUCAUCAAGUUUACAUUUAUUGAUUAGUGAACAACUGACAAAUGUCGUUUUUCUUGUUACUAGAUCCUCUUUUACCCAACUUCUUCCAGUUUUCCCCAAUUUUCUCUCCCCACCUUUCCUUGCUCCCACUGUGAAUUUCCAUGGCGUUCUGGCCAUCUCCGGCGUCGAACGGGGUCGAGCAACAUCUGAUCACCGGCGGUUUCAAAUCGCCGGCCCGCCGCAGUGGUAGGAUGAGAGGCAUCACCCCAUGGUGACAUCCUCUGUCCAGUACCCAACUUCUUUUGCUAAACCUUUCCCUAGGUUUUCAUUUGUUUUAAGUUUUCGGUCCGACCGGAAAAAUUUCACAGGCCAACCUUGGUAACCAGCGAAGCGACCACAGGCCGAGACUCGAGGUGUGUUUCUCCCAAUUUUAUGAUGUAGAUAUAUAUACAUAUAUACAUAUUUUUCCCAUUUCAAGAAAGGCUAAGGUCUCACAGUGUGAACCUUGAACUCAUGGUCGACCAAACCCUUCUUUUUCAGUCUCAGAUGACGAUGAUGAUUAUUAUUAUUGUUGUUGUUAUAUAUAUGGUUGAAAGGGGCUCACCAAGAUCUCUCUCUCUCUGUCUCUUUCUUGCAUUUUACUAUUGCGUGACGGUUUUCUUGGUUUUCAACCAUGGGGUUGUUGUGAAGGAUGAGAUGCAGAGAACGAAUCUCAAACUGGACAAUCUUAGGGAGAAGAUCAAGGAGAACCAUUCUUUGAAAGGACAAUGACGAAUUCAAUUCUCUUUGUGGCUUCAGUUAUAUCAUGUAAUUGUUUGUGUUAAUCUACAUGCAUGGUAUUGUCUGAUCUUCAGUUCUAACAAAAGCUUAUACGGUCCUGAAUACUGUCACGUAGACAAUCUUUCUUUCUGCGGUUGGACUUGUAGGCCCUGAUAAACUAAAGCUUGGUGAUUUAGGUGGAGUUAGUAAAGAUAACUACUUGAUAUUGGACACUUUGCCAUCUGAAUAUGAUUCUCGUGCGAAGGCGAUGGAGGUGGACGAAAAACCGACAGAAGAUUACAGUGACAUAGGAAGACUAGAGAAGCAAGUAAAUCAGUUUUUAUCAAUCCAAUAACUUGUUGUGGCAAUUGCACUGUCUAUGACUCACAUGGAAUGAUGGAACCACCUGUGGUUAUUCUUCUCUAUGGACCUCUCGAAACUGGGAAAACACUCAUGGCACGUGCUUGUGCAGCUCAAACAAAUGCUACAUUUCUUAAGCUACGAGGUCCACAGGUUGUGCAGAUUGUGGGUUCAUUUUGUUUGUAGGCACACAGUGCAUAAACUACUCUACUCGUCAAAUCUGCACAGCAAAGGCACAGUGUCAUGGUCAUUUGUUGUGCAGCGGUAAUUUCUUCCAAGCCAUCAAACAUGGCUAUGAUCUGGGAAAAAUUCUUGCGUUCGAAGUCAGAACAGAUGAGACGUUCCAUGGUGGUUAUGUCAAUGGAGCUGAUUCUUUGAACCUGGUAGGCCUUAUCUUAUCAGGAAGCCUGGCGAGUGAUGUGCAUCAUGAUGUUUCAAGAAAAAAAAAAACAUGCAUACACUUGAAAAGAAAUACCAUGUAAAUAUUUGCAAGGGGAAGUUAUGUAGGGGGGAAGUCAGGACCGACCCUUUUCGUGAAAAAAGUGCACCACUCAAGGCAAAUUUAAUAAUUAUCACUCCUGCCCAAGCUAAUGAACACUACCAUGCUCUUUUCUGAAGGGUUUCAGACUUUCACUCCUGGCUUGCAUACACUAGAAAGGCGACUAUGGAGAUUGCAGCUAUGUUGGAAACUUCAAUGAGAACAAGUGCAAUACAGGUUGUGGUGGUCUUUCACAGAGAUAUUGAAAAAUGUGGUACUUCAUAAUCUGAAAAUUGGAAACUGACACAUUCUAUGUCAGGUAUCAUGUUCAUCGUGCUUAGUUGUGUCCAGCUAGGAAUGUCCCCUGGCCGAGAGAGACGUUUUCGACAUCUCCCACCUGAAAACCUGGUGCAUACCCACACCAUCCAUCCAUCAUUCGCAUUGCUCGUUAAUUCAGGUCAUAUGUAGAAUUUUGAUGUUGGUUGUUUCAAUUAAGCUAGACUUACCAUUGGAAACUGCAUUUUUUGUUCACUUUUAAGAGAUUCUUGGUGGAUAGAUGCAUGGGCUGAAUUUCUAUGCAUUAUUGAAACGGAAAACUUAUGAUUGAAACGGAAAACUUGCUGCUCCAAUAGCAGCAAUGGAUGACUUGUAUA